Molecule: RNA transcript, 632 nt
Organism: Otolemur garnettii (small-eared galago)
Lineage: Eukaryota; Metazoa; Chordata; Mammalia; Primates; Galagidae
Gene name: destrin pseudogene
Exons: 1
Source: RefSeq, a predicted model, not a curated record
GGCUGGCUCCCUUUCCCCAUCCCUGCAACCACCGAGGCAAAGAUGGCUUCAGGAGUGCAAGUUGCUGAUGAAGUAUGUCGCAUUUUUGAUGACAUGAAAGUUAGGAAAUGCUCCACACCAGAAGAAAUCAAAAAAAGAAAGAAGGCUGUCAUUUUUUGUCUCAGUGCCAAUAAAAAGUGCAUCAUUGUAGAAGAAGGCAAAGAGAUCUUGGUUGGGAUAUUGGUGUGACCAUUACUGAUCCUUUCAAGCAUUUUGUGGGAAUGCUUCCUUAAAAAGACUGUCGGUAUGCUUUGUAUGAUGCGAGAAAGAGUCCAGAAAAGAAGAGUUGAUGUUCUUUUUGUGGACACCAGAACUAGCAUCUCUGAAAAGUAAAAUCUAUGCAAGCUCCAAGGAUGCAAUCAAAAAGAAAUUUUAAGGCAUAAAACAUGAAUGUCAGGCAAAUGGCCAGAGGACCUUAAUUGGGCUUGUACUGCUGAAAAGCGAGGUGGGUCUUUAAUUGUAGCCUUUGAAGGAUGCCCUGUGUCCAUCAUCAUUCAGUGCCACAUAUCGAAAGCUUCCAUGUUUAAUGUUAUCUUCUAGCUAUAUAAAUAAAGUAAAAGUAUAUUUAGGCCAGAGUCUCCCGGAGGGGAAAC